Molecule: non-coding RNA, 163 nt
Organism: Pseudonaja textilis
Lineage: Eukaryota; Metazoa; Chordata; Lepidosauria; Squamata; Elapidae
Source: RefSeq, a predicted model, not a curated record
GAGAACCCCAUCACCAUCCAGUGGGAGCCCCGUUCCUCCAGCUCUGCCAGGAAGAAACUCUGGACGGGGAUCAUGGGGGCUGUGAUAGGAGUGGCCUUCCUGGCUGUGGGGCUCUUCUCCUACCUGAAGAGCAAGAAAGCCACUCCCAUCCAACCUCCUGCAG